RNAcentral lists this long non-coding RNA (1204 nucleotides) under Prunus dulcis (almond). Its description in RNAcentral is "sRNA ncRNA". Lineage: Eukaryota; Viridiplantae; Streptophyta; Magnoliopsida; Rosales; Rosaceae. The record is from RNAcentral.
UUAUGUGACAAAUUUUGAGGCAAAAGACCCUGUUUUCUAGAGGGAGGGAGAGAGAGAGAGGGAGUCACCGUUACUUGAGCUUUGAUUUCUUCUUUCUUCUAGUGACAGUAGUGGCUCCCCAGAACUGGCAUCUUUCAAUGAGACUAGAAUGUCAAGCGAGUCCUCUGGGUCCUUUUUCCCGUAACCAGCUUUCUCUUGUUGAACCCUCUCUUCAAUUAGAGGGUCAUGGUAUUUCCUUGUAAUCUCAAUGGCCUCCUUUUUUAUCUUCUAAUGGCCACCCAGGUCAAGCCCUCUCGGCAUGUAAUCUGAUGCACACAAUGAAUAGAUGUAUUUGAGCAGAGUGGAAAUGCUAACAGGCCGGCAUAAGUUGCAUCUUGUUUCUCCAAGAACUUGCGGCUGAGUUUCGGACAAGUGACAGGGAAUACAUGAACAUUUCCGAGGCGGAAGCAUGUGAUAUUGAUCUUACGGGGGGAACGAAAUCAAAGAAUAUAUAGACUCGUAGAGACCCUCUAUGUAGUGGUCUAUCUAGGGCGAUCGAUCUACAUCUUUCCCCAUAGCCCAGGGGCUGUGUUUCGAUCUCCUAAAUCCUUGACAGACAAAUGUAAACAUUGUCUUUGCUGUUGUUGGGAAUGAACGAACGCACAGCCGAUCUGUCACCCAACCUACUUAAACAACCUCAAAGGCUUGGCCCCGUCCCGUUUGGAGAAUGACCCUUAUGGCACGGCUUAGUCAGUUAUUAUCGCAGUUCAGAUAAGAUUCGGACCGCCACUUCUCUGAAAACAUGGUUCUGUUGCUUGAACUUCUUAACGCCUGGAUUGUCUGAUCAAAUAUGUGAAGGCGAUUGUAAUGAGAAGAAGCAAGAAGGGGAGGCAGAAUAGCUUCGAGGGAAAUAAGGCAAUGGCAACCAUGACUGACUCUGCUUUUUUUGUUGUUGUUGUUGUUGUUGAGAAUUAGCGAUAGAUACAUUGCAUUGGAGAGGGGGCAUUCAUCCUGGGAUUCGAACAGAUGACCAAAGGGGGGAAGGGGGAGGGACUCACCACAAAGGUGAACCCCUCGGUCGACUGACUGUGGUUUAGAGAACAAAGCUGAUCACCCAAGUUUUUCUGAGACUUGUAUAGAAACCCUACUAGUAAGUACUAAAAGGACUGGCAAGUAGUAACCUUUGGUUUUUUGGUAACUUUUUAAACCACUUACUUUAGUUACG